AAAGUCGCAAGACGCUUAAAGUGAGGCCUGGGCACCAUCAGCUAGUUGGUAAGGUAAUGGCUUACCAAGGCUAUGACGGUUAGGGGUCCCGAGAGGGAUAACCCCCACACUGGAACUGCGACACGGUCCAGACUCCUACGGGAGGCAGCAGUUUGGAAUUUUGGACAAUGGGCGAAAGCCUGAUCCAGCGACGCCGCGUGGACGAUGAAGGCCUUCGGGUCGUAAAGUCCUUUUGCUCGGGAACAAUAUUUUGAGCGUACCGAGAGAAUAAGAGGUUGCUAACUCUGUGCCAGCAGCAGCGGUAAUACAGAGACCUCAAGCGUUAUCCGGAAUCAUUGGGCGUAAAGCGUUCCGACAGGUGGUUUUACAAGUCAGAAGUGAAAUCUUUCAGCUUAACUGGAAGACUGUCUUUUGAAACUGUAAAACUAGAGGGGCAAAGAGGAAGCUGGAACAAGCGGUGUAGUAGUGAAAUGCGUUGAUAUCGCUUGGAAUACCAAUAGCGUAGGCAGGCUUCUGGGUGCCACCUGACACUGCUAGGACGAAAGCGUGGGGAGCGAAUGGGAUUAGAUACCCCAGUAGUCCACGCUGUAAACGAUGCACAUUAGGUGCUAGGGAGUAUCGAC
This 623-nucleotide ribosomal RNA is filed under the name uncultured bacterium. RNAcentral describes it as "bacterial SSU rRNA". It matches the Rfam family "Bacterial small subunit ribosomal RNA", at positions 202 to 836 of the family's 1533-position model. The record is from RNAcentral.